Sitophilus oryzae (rice weevil) is the source of this 1507-nucleotide long non-coding RNA. RefSeq lists it as uncharacterized. The record is from RefSeq and is a predicted model, not a curated record. The transcript has 2 exons. Lineage: Eukaryota; Metazoa; Arthropoda; Insecta; Coleoptera; Curculionidae.
AGAAAACAAUAAGAAUAUUAUAUAUAUCGGACUGUUGUACUCUCAGUGAGACAAAGUUCGUACGUGUAAAGAAUGUCCUUCUCCUUGUAAGAGGAAUUCUCAUUUAUAUAAGGUUCUAUAUCUCGCAGUCAAGAGAAUAUUAUAAAUGCCAAAGUGUUGCAUCUCCGAGUGAGUCAAAUUUCGUACUUUUAGAGGAUGGCCAUAUGAGAGAGAUUCCUUUUAUAAGUCAAUAUUGAUAUCCCACUAUCGAGAGAUAAAUUACAGGUAUCACAGGUAAGUAUCUUAUAAUAUUUAUUUUCAGGUAAUUAAAUAAUGGAGGGAAAUAAUUGAAGUGGAAGCAAAUCUCUAAAUGUAGAAAUUAGAGGCAAGGAGGAGACAAUGGAAGUAGACAAAUGGAGAAAGCAAUAAGAAUAUCGUAUAUAUCGAACUGUUGUGCUCCCAGUGAGACAAAGUUUCCUAUUUAGAGAAUGCCCUUCUCCUCGUGAAAGGGAUUCCUAUUAUAUGAGGUUAGAAAUCUGGCUAUCAAAUAAUAUUAUAAAUAUCGAACUGUUGUUUUCCCAGUGACGCAAAGUUUCCUAUUUAUAGAGAAUGCCCUUCUCCUCGUGAGGGGGAUUCCUAUUGUAUGAGGUUCUAAAUCUCUCUAUCAAGAGAAUAUUAUAAAUACCGAAGUUGUGCCGAAGUGUUGUAUCACCCAGGGAGUCAAAUUUCUCAUUUUUCGAGAAUGGCCGUCUCCGUGUGAGGGAUUCCUUUUAUAAGUCAUUGUUGAUAUCCCCUAUCGAGAUAUUAAUUACACGUAUUACCGGUGAGUAUCUUAUAAUACUUAUUUUUAGGAAAUUAAAUAAUGAAUGGAAAUAAUUAAAGUAAAAGCAAAUUUCGAAAUAUGGAAAUUAGAGGCAAGGAGGAAACAAUGGAAUUAGACAAAAAGAAAAAAUGAGAAUAACAUAUAUAUAUCGAACUGUUGUCCUCUCCGUGAGACAAAGUUUCGUACUUACAGAGAAUGCCCUUCUCUUCGUGAGAGGGAUUCCUAUUAUAUGAGAUUCUAGAUCUCGCAAUCAACAGAGUACUAUAAAUGCCGAAGUGUUUUAUCUCCCAGCAAUGAAAUAAGACGAAUAUUGGAUGGAAAUAAAUAGAAGUACAUCCCGAAAUGUGGGGAUUAGAGGAAAGGAGAAAACAAAGGGAUGAGGAAUAUUGUAUAAACACGGACUGUUCUUCUCCCAGUGUUCUUUUCAUAGCGAGACAAAGGUUAGUACUUUUAGAUAAUCCUCUACUCCGUGUGAGAGGGAUUCCUUUUUUAAGAUAUUCCAGAGCUCGCUAUCGAGAUAAUAUUAUAAUAACCGAAGUGUUGUUGUCUCAAUGAUACAAAAUUUUUUAAUUUUAGUGAAUGCCCUUCUCCGUGUGAAAGGGAUUCCUUUAUAAAUGACGUUCUCGGUCUCGUUAUCGUAGAAGUAGAUUUCACAAAAGAAUUUCAAGUGAUAAAUCUAAAAAUUUUAGACCCUCAAAAAAAAAA